AGCAGCCGCGGUAAUUCCAGCUCCAAUAGCGUAUAUUAAAGUUGUUGCAGUUAAAAAGCUCGUAGUUGAAUUUCGGAGUUUGUCGGUUGGUCGGGCUUCACUGUCCGCACUGGCCUGAUGGAUUCCUACCUUCUGAAUAACCAGCAUGCUAUUAAGUUAGUGCGUUGGGGAAGCAGAGCUAUUACCUUGAAAAAUUAGAGUGCUUAAAGCAGGCUUAUGCUUGAAUAGAUUAGCAUGGAAUAAUAAAAUAGGAUGGCAUGGUUCUAUUUUGUUGGUUUCUAGGAUCACCGUAAUGAUUAAUAGGGAUAGUUGGGGGCAUUAGUAUUCAAUUGUCAGAGGUGAAAUUCUUGGAUUUAUUGAAGACUAACUUCUGCGAAAGCAUUUGCCAAGGAUGUUUUCAUUAAUCAAGAACGAAAGUUAGGGGAUCGAAGACGAUCAGAUACCGUCGUA
This 450-nucleotide ribosomal RNA is filed under the name uncultured Acaulospora. RNAcentral describes it as "SSU rRNA". It matches the Rfam family "Eukaryotic small subunit ribosomal RNA", at positions 569 to 1022 of the family's 1831-position model. Lineage: Eukaryota; Fungi; Glomeromycota; Glomeromycetes; Diversisporales; Acaulosporaceae. The record is from RNAcentral.